RNAcentral lists this ribosomal RNA (492 nucleotides) under uncultured bacterium. RNAcentral describes it as "partial 16S ribosomal RNA". It matches the Rfam family "Bacterial small subunit ribosomal RNA", at positions 29 to 507 of the family's 1533-position model. The record is from RNAcentral.
AGUGAACGCUGGCGGUAGGCCUAACACAUGCAAGUCGAACGGCGGCACAGUAAGAGCUUGCUCUUACGGGUGGCGAGUGGCGGACGGGUGAGGAAUACAUCGGAAUCUACUUUUUCGUGGGGGAUAACGUAGGGAAACUUACGCUAAUACCGCAUACGACCUACGGGUGAAAGCAGGGGAUCUUCGGACCUUGCGCGAUUGAAUGAGCCGAUGUCGGAUUAGCUAGUUGGCGGGGUAAAGGCCCACCAAGGCGACGAUCCGUAGCUGGUCUGAGAGGAUGAUCAGCCACACUGGAACUGAGACACGGUCCAGACUCCUACGGGAGGCAGCAGUGGGGAAUAUUGGACAAUGGGCACAAGCCUGAUCCAGCCAUACCGCGUGGGUGAAGAAGGCCUUCGGGUUGUAAAGCCCUUUUGUUGGGAAAGAAAAGCAGCAGGUUAAUACCCCGCUGUUCUGACGGUACCCAAAGAAUAAGCACCGGCUAACUUCGUG